RNAcentral lists this ribosomal RNA (217 nucleotides) under uncultured prokaryote. RNAcentral's name for it is "partial 16S ribosomal RNA". It matches the Rfam family "Bacterial small subunit ribosomal RNA", at positions 524 to 740 of the family's 1533-position model. The record is from RNAcentral.
GACGGAGGAUGCAAGCGUUAUCCGGAAUGAUUGGGCGUAAAGCGUCCGCAGGUGGCAGUUCAAGUCUGCUGUCAAAGACCGGGGCUUAACUUCGGAAAGGCAGUGGAAACUGAACAGCUAGAGUAUGGUAGGGGCAGAGGGAAUUCCUGGUGUAGCGGUGAAAUGCGCAGAUAUCAGGAGGAACACCGAUGGCGAAGGCAGCUCGCUGGGACGGUAC